Molecule: ribosomal RNA, 773 nt
Filed under: uncultured Neocallimastigales
Lineage: Eukaryota; Fungi; Neocallimastigomycota; Neocallimastigomycetes; Neocallimastigales
Description: partial large subunit ribosomal RNA
Rfam family: Eukaryotic large subunit ribosomal RNA
Source: RNAcentral
AGAGAGAGACAUGCGCGCAUAUCAAUAAGCGGAGGAAAAGAAACUAACUAGGAUUCCCUCAGUAACGGCGAGUGAAGCGGGAAGAGCUCAAAUUUGAAAUCUUCAAGGUUCUACCUUGACGAAUUGUAGUUUAAAGAAGUGUUUUCUGUUGGAGUUUUGGUAAAAGUUCUUUGGAAUAGGACAUCAUAGAGGGUGAGAAUCCCGUAUUUGACCUUUACUUUCAACUUUGUGAUACACUUUCAAAGAGUCGGAUUGUUUGGAAAUGCAGUCCAAAAUGGGUGGUAAAUUUCAUCUAAAGCUAAAUAUUGGCGAGAGACCGAUAGCGAACAAGUACCGUGAGGGAAAGAUGAAAAGAACUUUGAAAAGAGAGUUAAACAGUACGUGAAAUUGUCAAAAGGGAAGCGUUUGACACCAGUGUUGUUUUCUCGAAAAUCAAUUAAAAAAGGCAGGAUUUUGUGUUGUAUUGACUUUAUCAGCUUUCUGCACUCUUUUCUUGUCUUUUUUAAUGCACCUUUCGUUUAACAAGUCAACAUCAAUUUCUUUUGUUGUAAAAGGGUCAUUGGAAGGUGGCUUUCUUUUCGGAGAAAGUGUUUAUAGCCUUUGGCCUCUGCAAUCGGAGAGAUUGAGGUCUGCAGCGUAGAUCCUUCGGGGUUAGAUACAUUUGUGCUAAGUUAUAGCCUUUCAUAGACAACUUGUUGACUAUGAUCAGUCAUGUAGCUUACUCGCUUAUGCUAUUUUACCUACGCUUAGGAUGUUGAUGUGAUACUGCGAGC